UUUGCUUGUUUCUUUGUCUCU
RNAcentral lists this non-coding RNA (21 nucleotides) under Caenorhabditis elegans. The record is from RNAcentral. Lineage: Eukaryota; Metazoa; Nematoda; Chromadorea; Rhabditida; Rhabditidae.